GCAAGUCGAGGGGCAGCGAGACACUUCGGUGUUGUCGGCGACCGGCGAACGGGUGCGUAACGCGUAUGCAACCUACCUCGUACAGGGGGAUAGCUUUCGGAAACGAAAAUUAAUACCCCAUAUUAUCUCAUCAUCGCAUGGUGAAGAGAUGAAAACUCCGGUGGUACGAGAUGGGCAUGCGUCCUAUUAGCUUGUUGGUAAGGUAAAAGCUUACCAAGGCUACGAUAGGUAGGGGGUCUGAGAGGACGAUC
This 251-nucleotide ribosomal RNA is filed under the name uncultured bacterium. RNAcentral's name for it is "partial 16S ribosomal RNA". It matches the Rfam family "Bacterial small subunit ribosomal RNA", at positions 57 to 305 of the family's 1533-position model. The record is from RNAcentral.